CCUACGGGGUGCAGCAGUGAGGAAUAUUGGUCAAUGGCCGGAAGGCUGAACCAGCCAUGCCGCGUGAAGGUCAGUGCCCUAUGGGCGUUAAACUUCUUUUGUGCGGGAGCAAUAAUGGUCACGUGUGGCCAGACGAGAGUACCGUACGAAUAAGCAUCGGCUAACUCCGUGCCAGCAGCCGCGGUAAUACGGGGGAUGCAAGCGUUAUCCGGAUUUAUUGGGUUUAAAGGGUGCGUAGGCUGUGAGGUAAGUCAGCGGGGAAAUGCCCCCGCUCAACGGGGUGAAGUGCCAUUGAUACUGCCUUGCUGGAAGGCGGAUGCCGUGGGAGGAAUGUGGGGUGUAGCGGUGAAAUGCAUAGAUAUCACACAGAACACCGAUUGCGAAGGCAUCUCACGAAUCCGCGAUUGACGCUGAUGCACGAAAGCGUGGGUAUCAAACAGGAUUAGAUACCCUUGUAGUC
Molecule: ribosomal RNA, 460 nt
Filed under: uncultured bacterium
Lineage: Bacteria
Description: partial 16S ribosomal RNA
Rfam family: Bacterial small subunit ribosomal RNA
Source: RNAcentral